GUGGGACUUGGUUCUGAUCUUAUAACAUGAUGUAAAUUAAGGCUUACACAUGGUAUGAUUUAGUGUGGUGAGGAAAAUUAAUUUAAAUAACUAUUUUUAUGUAAAAUAGAAGUGGUUAUGGGGAUUUUUAAUAUUAUAGUAAUAAAUGAUGUUUAAAUUUUCACUAACACCAGUGUAAAAUUUUAGUCAAUAGAUGAGAGUCUGAACUAGGUUAGUUUUUAUAGUUGGUAAAUUUAGUGCCAGCAUCCGCGGUUAAACUAGAGACUUAAGUCAUGUAUGCUGUAGUAAUAAAGGUAAUUAGGCGUGAUAAGAGAAGGAGAAGUAUUUCAAGAGUUUUUAUUUAGAUGUAAAAUGUGUAAAUAAGGAUUUAUUUUAGUUGAAAUACUGCUUGGCUGAUGUUACGAUAUUUUUAAGGGAAACUAGGAUUAGAUACCCUAUUAUUUUUAAAUGUAAAUUAGUAUUGUUUACUUACUAGGGUACUACGAAUAAUAAUUUAAAACUCAAAGAACUUGGCGGUAUUUUAGACCACUUAGGGGAACCUGUUUCGUAAUCGAUAGUCCACGUUUCACCUGACCUUAUUUUGCGGAAGUUUGUAUACCGUCGUCGUCAGGCAACUUUUGAGAAGAAGAUAGUUGGCGGUAGUAAUGAUUUUGAUUAUGACGUCAGAUCAAGGUGCAGCUUAUAGUAUGGUGCUGAUGGGUUACAAUUAAAAAUUAUAAUACGGAGGAUUCACUGAAAAUUGUGUUUUUGAAGGAGGACUUAAAAGUAAAAGUAAUGAGUGACUUACUUUGAAUAGAUGGCUCUGAGAUGUGCACACAUCGCCCGUCGCUCUCGUUGAAAAAUGAGAUAAGUCGUAACAUAGUAGUGGUAAUGGAAAUUGCCUCUAGGAAGGA
This 893-nucleotide non-coding RNA is filed under the name Viviparus viviparus. RNAcentral describes it as "12S ribosomal RNA". The stretch from base 162 to 893 matches the Rfam family "Microsporidia small subunit ribosomal RNA". Lineage: Eukaryota; Metazoa; Mollusca; Gastropoda; Architaenioglossa; Viviparidae. The record is from RNAcentral.